Long non-coding RNA from Mus musculus (house mouse), 1142 nucleotides. RefSeq annotates it as predicted gene, 35017. The record is from RefSeq and is a predicted model, not a curated record. Lineage: Eukaryota; Metazoa; Chordata; Mammalia; Rodentia; Muridae. The transcript has 3 exons.
GAAAGAAGUUGAUGUAGUUUUUGGAGUCUGGUUGUUGCUUUUUCCAAACCUUGUGUUUUUUGUGUCAAUAGGCAUUCUCAGUUCUUCAGGGAAGUGAAUCAAGAGAGACUGAGCCUUUGAGAAGCCAAGAGAAUCUGAAAAGUGACAAUUAUGGACAGAAAAAUGAAGAAAGUAACCAUAGCCCUAGGGAAAUCCUCACCAAAGGGAUGGGCCACAGUGUUGAGUCCCCAUGUCUGACCAAGGACUACCCUUCACAGAUAACUCCCUAAUUGUUCCCUACUUCCUCAAGCUGUAGGUAUUCAGUAGACCAGGAAAAGUCUUCAGAAAUGUAGUCCCCUUGCCACAUUGUACUGAGAAAGUGUGGUGAAUGACUUUAUCCAUCUUGUAUGGGAUGAUAGGGUGAUGUGGUUUUUACUUAUUACUACUCUUAUCUGGAGACUGUCUUUUCCCACAACGUAAGAUCUUCCAGUUCAGUGAUUUCCAAUUCUCUUUGAGCUAUUGAUUACCCCAUAAAACAUGCCAGACAUGCACGACACUUACUCUCAUGUCCUCACAACGAUUCCACAUCUCAUAAGCAAACAAAAGGCCAUGGAGCUUCAGUAGGUUGUCACAGGCAGAUGAUUACUAAACUGUAAAGUUGAAUUUAAAAUCCAGCUGUGUCUCUUAUGAACCUUUGCUGAAAUCACAAGCUGGAGGCUGGCUGAAUGUUGGAGCAGCAGUCUAGCUGGUCCAGGAAGAAUCUGAAUACCUUAUGUGACUCCUUCCCACCUGCUGCAGUCCGGUUUCGUUGCUUCUCACGCAGCAAGACUCCAGAGCAGCUGGUGACUUCCUGGAGUGUUUCCAUUUACAGGUCUCCUAUGCCUCUCUCCAUCUCCUUCUCAUCUCAUUUCCCAGAUGUCAGAAGUUAAGCACCUGAUUCCCUGGCCUACUGUUGCCAUCUUACCAUAGGCCCACAGUGAUGGAGAAAGUGGGCCAUGGAUUGAAGUAUCUGAAAUGGUAACCCCAAAUAAAUUUUUUGUCCCUGUAAGUUGUCUCUUGUAUUUGUCAUGCUGAUGGAAGGUUGGACUAAUGCAGUGUUACAAAAUGCAAAUGGUAAUUUAUAUUAACCAGUGCCUGCCAGUGGCUUGGUCAGUGAAGAGUAU